GCCCUGCUGAUACAGCGCCGCGUUAAGUAUAGAGACACGCUGACAUUGCGCCGCAAAUGCGGCGCAAAGAGCUUCACAGUGUGGCUACGGCCUUAGAAUUUCGUUCAUUUAUAGGACCAAGAAGAUUACUGAACUAUCGAGAGGAAUUGAUCACUGCUCUGUUUCCUUUACAGAUAUAGACAGCUUCACAAUCACUGUCGAUCCGAACAGUUGCACAUCCGAACGAUGCGAUGGGUCGCACGCCACACUCAACACGGGACUGGGCGAGUACGACCAGAGCGGCGCUUGGCUGCCAAUGAAGUAGCCAUGCAGAGGAAGCAGCGCUUGAGUGUUAGUUACAUCCUCUGGGUGCGGACGGUGAUGUGAAAAAUAGAAUGAAAUGUCAAGAAUAAAAUUUAA
This is an RNA transcript of Dermacentor silvarum, 399 nucleotides long. RefSeq lists it as uncharacterized. The transcript is spliced from 3 exons. The record is from RefSeq and is a predicted model, not a curated record. NCBI's taxonomy places the organism in Eukaryota, Metazoa, Arthropoda, Arachnida, Ixodida, Ixodidae.